GCUGGGUGCAGUGGCGCAUGCCUGUAAUCCCAGCGGCUCAGGAGGCUGAGGCGGGAGGAUUGCAAGUUUAAAGCCAGCUUCAGCAACAAUGAAGUGCUAAGCAACUCAGUGAGACCUUGUCUCUA
This 125-nucleotide small RNA is filed under the name Marmota monax (woodchuck). Lineage: Eukaryota; Metazoa; Chordata; Mammalia; Rodentia; Sciuridae. The record is from RNAcentral.